AGGGGCGUAGCUCAACUGGCAGAGCGUCGGUCUCCAAAACCGAAGGUCGGGGGUUCGAGUCCCUCCGCCCCUGCCA
This 76-nucleotide transfer RNA is filed under the name Euzebyales bacterium. Its description in RNAcentral is "tRNA-Trp". It matches the Rfam family "tRNA". Rfam says of the family: Transfer RNA (tRNA) molecules are approximately 80 nucleotides in length. The record is from RNAcentral. Lineage: Bacteria; Bacillati; Actinomycetota; Nitriliruptoria; Euzebyales. RNAcentral also lists the same sequence under 3 other names.